CCUACGGGAGGCUGCAGUGGGGAAUAUUGCACAAUGGGCGCAAGCCUGAUGCAGCCAUGCCGCGUGUGUGAAGAAGGCCUUCGGGUUGUAAAGCACUUUCAGCGGGGAGGAAGGCGGUGAGGUUAAUAACCUCAUCGAUUGACGUUACCCGCAGAAGAAGCACCGGCUAACUCCGUGCCAGCAGCCCCGGUAAUACGGAGGGUGCAAGCGUUAAUCGGAAUUACUGGGCGUAAAGCGCACGCAGGCGGUCUGUCAAGUCGGAUGUGAAAUCCCCGGGCUCAACCUGGGAACUGCAUUCGAAACUGGCAGGCUAGAGUCUUGUAGAGGGGGGUAGAAGUCCAGGUGUAGCGGUGAAAUGCGUAGAGAUCUGGAGGAAUACCGGUGGCGAAGGCGGCCCCCUGGACAAAGACUGACGCUCAGGUGCGAAAGCGUGGGGAGCAAACAGGAUUAGAUACCCGAGUAGUC
RNAcentral lists this ribosomal RNA (465 nucleotides) under uncultured Klebsiella sp. RNAcentral's name for it is "bacterial SSU rRNA". It matches the Rfam family "Bacterial small subunit ribosomal RNA", at positions 338 to 795 of the family's 1533-position model. The record is from RNAcentral. Lineage: Bacteria; Pseudomonadati; Pseudomonadota; Gammaproteobacteria; Enterobacterales; Enterobacteriaceae.